AGUGAACGCUGGCGGUAGGCCUAACACAUGCAAGUCGAACGGCAGCACAGUAAGAGCUUGCUCUUACGGGUGGCGAGUGGCGGACGGGUGAGGAAUACAUCGGAAUCUACUUUUUCGUGGGGGAUAACGUAGGGAAACUUACGCUAAUACCGCAUACGACCUACGGGUGAAAGCAGGGGAUCUUCGGACCUUGCGCGAUUGAAUGAGCCGAUGUCGGAUUAGCUAGUUGGCGGGGUAAAGGCCCACCAAGGCGACGAUCCGUAGCUGGUCUGAGAGGAUGAUCAGCCACACUGGAACUGAGACACGGUCCAGACUCCUACGGGAGGCAGCAGUGGGGAAUAUUGGGCAAUGGGCGCAAGCCUGAUCCAGCCAUGCCGCGUGGGUGAAGAAGGCCUUCGGGUUGUAAAGCCCUUUUGUUGGGAAAGAAAAGCAGCAGGUGAAUACCCCGCUGUUCUGACGGUACCCAAAGAAUAAGCACCGGCUAACUUCGUG
Molecule: ribosomal RNA, 492 nt
Filed under: uncultured bacterium
Lineage: Bacteria
Description: partial 16S ribosomal RNA
Rfam family: Bacterial small subunit ribosomal RNA
Source: RNAcentral